RNAcentral lists this ribosomal RNA (468 nucleotides) under uncultured bacterium. Its description in RNAcentral is "partial 16S ribosomal RNA". It matches the Rfam family "Bacterial small subunit ribosomal RNA", at positions 28 to 507 of the family's 1533-position model. The record is from RNAcentral.
GACGAACGCUGGCGGCGUGCUUAACACAUGCAAGUCGAACGGAAAGGCCCUGCUUUUGUGGGGUGCUCGAGUGGCGAACGGGUGAGUAACACGUGAGUAACCUGCCCUUGACUUUGGGAUAACUUCAGGAAACUGGGGCUAAUACCGGAGAGGAGCUCUUGCUGCAUGGGGGGGGUUGGAAAGUUUCGGCGGUUGGGGAUGGACUCGCUGGUUACCAGCUUGUUGGGGGGGUAGGGGCUUACCAAGGCUUUGACGGGUAGCCGGCCUGGGAGGGUGACCGGCCACAUUGGGACUGAGGUACGGCCCAGACUCCUACGGGAGGCAGCAGUGGGGAAUCUUGCACAAUGGGCGGAAGCCUGAUGCAGCAACGCCGCGUGCGGGAUGCCGGCCUUCGGGUUGUAAACCGCUUUCGCCUGUGACGAAGAGUGAGUGACGGUAAUGGGUAAAGAAGCCCCGGCUAACUACGUG